Ribosomal RNA from Betta splendens (Siamese fighting fish), 119 nucleotides. The record is from Ensembl. Lineage: Eukaryota; Metazoa; Chordata; Actinopteri; Anabantiformes; Osphronemidae.
GCUUAUGGCCUUACCACCCUGAGCACGCCCGAUCUCGUCUGAUCUCGGAAGCUAAGCAGGGUCGGGCCUGGUUAGUACUUGAAUGGGAGACUGCCUAGGAAUACCAGGUCCUGUAAGCU